This 253-nucleotide ribosomal RNA is filed under the name uncultured bacterium. RNAcentral describes it as "partial 16S ribosomal RNA". It matches the Rfam family "Bacterial small subunit ribosomal RNA", at positions 524 to 776 of the family's 1533-position model. The record is from RNAcentral.
UACAGAGGUCUCAAGCGUUGUUCGGAUUCAUUGGGCGUAAAGGGUGCGUAGGUGGCGCCGUAAGUCAGGUGUGAAAUUUCGGAGCUUAACUCCGAAACUGCAUUUGAUACUGCGGUGCUUGAGGACUGGAGAGGAGACUGGAAUUUACGGUGUAGCAGUGAAAUGCGUAGAGAUCGUAAGGAAGACCAGUGGGGAAGGCGGGUCUCUGGACAGUUCCUGACACUGAGGCACGAAGGCCAGGGGAGCGAACGGG